RNAcentral lists this ribosomal RNA (447 nucleotides) under uncultured bacterium. RNAcentral describes it as "partial 16S ribosomal RNA". It matches the Rfam family "Bacterial small subunit ribosomal RNA", at positions 330 to 793 of the family's 1533-position model. The record is from RNAcentral.
UCCAGACUCCUACGGGAGGCAGCAGCGGGGGAUAUUGCACAAUGGGGGGAACCCUGAUGCAGCGACGCCGCGUGGGUGAAGGAGCGUUUCGGCGCGUAAAGCCCUAUCGGCAGGGAAGAAGGAGGACGGUACCUGACUAAGAAGCCCCGGCUGACUACGUGCCAGCAGCCGCGGUAAUACGUAGGGGGCAAGCGUUAUCCGGAUUUACUGGGUGUAAAGGGGGCGCAGACGGCAGCGCAAGCCAGGAGUGAAAGCCCGGGGCCCAACCCCGGGACUGCUCUUGGAACUGCGCGGCUGGAGUGCAGGAGGGGCAGGCGGAAUUCCUGGUGUAGCGGUGAAAUGCGUAGAUAUCAGGAGGAACACCGGUGGCGAAGGCGGCCUGCUGGACUGCGACUGACGUUGAGGCCCGAAAGCGUGGGGAGCAAACAGGAUUAGAUACCCGCGUAU